This 29-nucleotide transfer RNA is filed under the name Pseudocyttus maculatus. Its description in RNAcentral is "partial tRNA-Glu". The record is from RNAcentral. Lineage: Eukaryota; Metazoa; Chordata; Actinopteri; Zeiformes; Oreosomatidae.
ACCGUUGUUAUUCAACUACAAGAACCUUA